GACGGGGACCCGCACAAGCGGUGGAGCAUGUGGUUUAAUUCGAUGCAACGCGAAAAACCUUACCACUUUUUGACAUGAAGGUCGUAUCCCUCCUAACAGGGGGAGUCAGUUCGGCUGGACCUUACACAGGUGCUGCAUGGCUGUCGUCAGCUCGUGUCGUGAGAUGUUGGGUUAAGUCCCGCAACGAGCGCAACCCUCAUUCUUAGUUACCAACAGGUAAUGCUGGGCACUCUAAGGAAACUGCCAGUGAUAAACUGGAGGAAGGUGGGGAUGAUGUCAAGUCAGCACGGCCCUUAUAGGGUGGGCUACACACGUGCUACAAUGGCAACUACA
RNAcentral lists this ribosomal RNA (333 nucleotides) under uncultured Ehrlichia sp. RNAcentral describes it as "bacterial SSU rRNA". It matches the Rfam family "Bacterial small subunit ribosomal RNA", at positions 912 to 1241 of the family's 1533-position model. The record is from RNAcentral. Lineage: Bacteria; Pseudomonadati; Pseudomonadota; Alphaproteobacteria; Rickettsiales; Anaplasmataceae.